GGGGUUGUGGCUCAGCGGUAGAGCACUCACUAACACAUGAGAGGCCCUGGGUUCAAUCCUCAGCACCA
RNAcentral lists this transfer RNA (68 nucleotides) under Ictidomys tridecemlineatus (thirteen-lined ground squirrel). RNAcentral describes it as "Spermophilus tridecemlineatus (thirteen-lined ground squirrel) tRNA". It matches the Rfam family "tRNA". Rfam says of the family: Transfer RNA (tRNA) molecules are approximately 80 nucleotides in length. Their secondary structure includes four short double-helical elements and three loops (D, anti-codon, and T loops). Lineage: Eukaryota; Metazoa; Chordata; Mammalia; Rodentia; Sciuridae. The record is from Rfam by way of RNAcentral.